CAAGCCGCUAACAAUGUGAUAUCUAACAGCUAGCAUACUGAUAAAAAUAAUUUUGUGUUUCCAUAUGCUACCCGAUUACCCGACCCGAUAAUGACAAUAACGAGUAAUGGAAAGACUCUAUUUUGUAUUGCAAAAAUUGUUCUACUUAGCCGGGGGCAGAGUUGAAACGAGCUUCACGAGAGCUUGAGCUUUAGCUCAAAAGCUCACUCAUUUUGUGAGCUUUGAGCUUGAGCUUCGCUCUUUUUGAAAAAGUGUAAGCUUGAGCUUGAGCUUUUGCCUCAUGAGCGGAAGCUCGCACUUGUGGCGCCAUCUAGCGGCCAAAAUUGAAAGUGGUUGCCGAAAUGAGACAAGUCUUCACGUUUGGAGGUGGAGAGCUGUCUGUGCUACUUGCUAAUAGCCUAGCCUAUACUAGAUGCUUAUGCUUACAGUUACAGUUUAGUGAUUGAACUGAACAAAUAAAAACAUAAACUUGAAAUCUGAAACUGAAAGUCUUAAACUCUUUAGAGAGUAGAGACUAAUGAGAAAUGGCGUCAAAAAAGCGAACAGCUUCUACAAGUUUACAAAGUCAAAGUCAUGUGGGUGCUGUAGGUGGUGAUGAUCAAGUUGAUUGUGAAACUGUAAAUGUAGAGAAUAAUGAUUCUGGCAGCGAUGGGCAUGAUUCUGGCAGAUUUGUCAUUCUCAUUCAAUGUUAGACCAUUGAGCAUUGACCGCUUUCUCAUGAAAGCAAAUCUGAAAAAAAUACAAUGUUUUGAUUGUCAGUU
Daphnia magna is the source of this 761-nucleotide long non-coding RNA. RefSeq lists it as uncharacterized. The record is from RefSeq and is a predicted model, not a curated record. The transcript is spliced from 2 exons. Lineage: Eukaryota; Metazoa; Arthropoda; Branchiopoda; Diplostraca; Daphniidae.